Oryzias melastigma (Indian medaka) is the source of this 1017-nucleotide long non-coding RNA. RefSeq lists it as uncharacterized. The transcript has 2 exons. The record is from RefSeq and is a predicted model, not a curated record. Lineage: Eukaryota; Metazoa; Chordata; Actinopteri; Beloniformes; Adrianichthyidae.
AAGUGGCCUGAUUAGGCAGGGACUUGGCUACGUGACACUGCUACAGCGCUAUUUAGACCUAUAAUGUGCACCAUACUGUGACACUGCGUAAAUGUGUGGGCCUGAGGAGGCAAAGAUGAUUUUUAUUUUGUAUCGCUCCAGAGAUAAGAGAAAGAUGAGCUCCCGCUAUCAGCCCCACAUUGAUCUUCUCAUCCCCAAGAACACAAAACACCAAUCAGCCUGUCAUAAUCACUCAGCUGGAAGAGGAAGUGCUAAACGCCAAGUGCAGCUGCUUCGUGUUAACGGAGGGAAAGUGAAAAACAACGCAAGGCUGAGCAUUUGCCAUACAUUUGAUAUUCUGUUUUAAAAGUAAUGCAAAAAGGGAAUAUGGAGGUUUACUUAGCACUUUGCCGAAUCCAUUUUGUUAAUAAUGAUACUGACUCUCAUUUCUUUUUUAUUUGCAUGCCAGAACAAUAAAGGAACAGCUGCUGGAGCCGUCAAUUCUGAAAAAAGGAAAUAGGCUCUAAAUAAUAUCUGUUUCCCCACAGCCUCUAUUCUCUAUUCACUCUGAUAUUUUCACAUAAAAACUUUAGUAUUCAACACGUUUUUUUUCUUCUUCUCGUUUUGUCCCAAAAAAAAGUUUUUUUCAUUCACAGAGACACCUCGUCUGCUCCCUUUGAAACAAUGGAUGUAGUUUAUGAUCUGACAGAUUCUCCAUACUGUGCUUUCUUGUCAAGUAAAACACUUUUACUGCCAACUUUACGUCUUCACGCACCUCAGCUCAGCAUCUUUCCACCACAAAUGAUCUGGCAGAUCAAACCGUUGCGAUGCAUCUAGGUAUUAUUUGGGCUCUGUGAAGUGCAGAAAGACCCAAAAGUUCUCCAUAAAAAUAGGAUCAAACGAGUCACUCUUCCUUCAACUUUAAUGCCAAAGCACAGCUGAAAUUUAGGUGCUGUAAGCCAUUUUCCACCUUGUCAUUUAAGAUGGAAACAUUUAGAUGUGUCAGUCUGUUUAAAUAAAAAAAUAAAAAUAAAAAAA